This 776-nucleotide ribosomal RNA is filed under the name Escherichia coli. Its description in RNAcentral is "partial 23S ribosomal RNA". It matches the Rfam family "Bacterial large subunit ribosomal RNA", at positions 139 to 955 of the family's 2925-position model. The record is from RNAcentral. Lineage: Bacteria; Pseudomonadati; Pseudomonadota; Gammaproteobacteria; Enterobacterales; Enterobacteriaceae.
UUCGACACACUAUCAUUAACUGAAUCCAUAGGUUAAUGAGGCGAACCGGGAGAACUGAAACAUCUAAGUACCCCGAGGAAAAGAAAUCAACCGAGAUUCCCCCAGUAGCGGCGAGCGAACGGGGAGCAGCCCAGAGCCUGAAUCAGUGUGUGUGUUAGUGGAAGCGUCUGGAAAGGCGCGCGAUACAGGGUGACAGCCCCGUACACAAAAAUGCACAUACUGUGAGCUCGAUGAGUAGGGCGGGACACGUGGUAUCCUGUCUGAAUAUGGGGGGACCAUCCUCCAAGGCUAAAUACUCCUGACUGACCGAUAGUGAACCAGUACCGUGAGGGAAAGGCGAAAAGAACCCCGGCGAGGGGAGUGAAAAAGAACCUGAAACCGUGUACGUACAAGCAGUGGGAGCACGCUUCGGCGUGUGACUGCGUACCUUUUGUAUAAUGGGUCAGCGACUUAUAUUCUGUAGCAAGGUUAACCGAAUAGGGGAGCCGAAGGGAAACCGAGUCUUAACUGGGCGUUAAGUUGCAGGGUAUAGACCCGAAACCCGGUGAUCUAGCCAUGGGCAGGUUGAAGGUUGGGUAACACUAACUGGAGGACCGAACCGACUAAUGUUGAAAAAUUAGCGGAUGACUUGUGGCUGGGGGUGAAAGGCCAAUCAAACCGGGAGAUAGCUGGUUCUCCCCGAAAGCUAUUUAGGUAGCGCCUCGUGAAUUCAUCUCCGGGGGUAGAGCACUGUUUCGGCAAGGGGGUCAUCCCGACUUACCAACCCGAUGCAAACU